Molecule: small RNA, 27 nt
Filed under: Bombyx mori (domestic silkworm)
Lineage: Eukaryota; Metazoa; Arthropoda; Insecta; Lepidoptera; Bombycidae
Description: ovarian small RNA-34368
Source: RNAcentral
UGGAAACGAAUUACGCGCGGUGUACCA